UCUAGGGAUCCCUCUUGAGUUUGGGAACAUUUUAAAAAAAUUUCAGAUGGUGAUCCAAAUAAUCCUAGAUGCAAAUGUAAAUACUGUGGGGUAGAUUAUGCGUGUAAUACCAAAAGGUGUGGAACUAGUACGUUGUGAAAUCAUUUGAUGAACCAAUGCAAGAAAUACCAUAUUAGAACGGUGGAUAAAAAACAACAAGUUCUUUCUUUUGAAAGUAGUAGUAGUAAUUUAGUGUCUACAAGUACAACAUUUAGUAAGGAGGCAUGUAGGCUUACAUGUGCACAAAUGAUCAUCAUAGACGAGUUGCCAUUUAGCCACGUUGAAAGGGAAGGGUUUAGAAAGUUUUGUAAUACUUUGAACCCUAAGUAUGAACCACCAUCUGGUAGAACAAUUUCUAGAGAGGUCUUUCAAUUAUACUUAGAUGAGAAAAAAGCUUUGAAGAGUGUGUUUUCAUUGAGGAAGCAAAGGGUUUGUCGUACGACGGACACAUGGACUUCCAUUCAAAAUAACAAUUAUAUGACUCUUACCACUCAUUUUAUUGAUGAUGAUUGGAAAUUGCAUAAGAGAAUUAUAAAUUUUUGUGUUGUUCAAAAUCAUAAGGGUGAGACAAUUGGCAAGAUUAUAGAAAAUUGUUUGAUUGAAUGGGGUAUUGAAAGGGUUUUUACAAUAACGGUUGAUAAUGCUUCUUCAAAUGAUGUGGCUAUUAAUUUUUUGAAAGGAAAAUUAAAUUAUUGGAAAGGAAAUGUUUUGGAUAGUAAGUUUUUGCAUGUUCGUUGUGCUGCACAUAUUGUAACUUUGAUUGUGACAUUUGGAUUAAGGGAAAUUCAUGAUAGUAUUGCUGGAAUUUGUAAUGCUAUUAGAUAUGUUUGAUCAUCUCCUUCAAGGUUAAACAAAUUUAAAAUAUGUGUAGAAAAGGAGCAGAUUGGAUUUAGAGAAACCAUGGUUUUGGAUGUAUUUACUAAGUGGAAUUCCACCUAUUUGAUGUUGAACUUGGCUUUGAAGUAUCAAAAAGCUUUUGAUAGGAUGAUAGACGAAGAUGGAUUUUUUCUUGGAUAUUUUGAGGAGGAUGAAUUUGGAAGAAAGAGAGCUGGACCACUUUAAAUUAAAGAUUGGGAUAGUGUAAGAGUUUUUGUGAAAUUCCUUGCUACUUUUUAUGAGAUUACCUUAAAGUUUAGUGCCUCUUUAACCGUGACUUCUAAUAUAUGUUUUCAUGAAUUAAGUUUAAUGUAUAAUGCACUUGUUGAAUGGAGUAAUAGUUAAAACCAUUUGAUGGCCGAUAUGGCAAAGAAAAUAUUGAUAAAGUUUGAGAAAUAUUAGGGUUCACUUGGAAAUGUCAACAAGUUGUUGCUUAUUGUCGUUGUGCUUGAUUCAUAAUAUAAGCUAGAAUAUGUAUCAUAUCUUUUUGAGGAUGCUUAUGAAAGUGGUAUGGUUGAAUCUUUGACUAAGGAUGUAAAAGAUACUUUAGUUAACCUUUACAACUUCUAUAAGAAAAUUGAUUUUAUGAAGGAGAGUUCUAGAGUGUCAAAUUCUAAUAAUAGUCAAUCAAUGCAAGCACAACAAAGUGGGAUGAUGAUGGAUUCAUUGGAUGAUGGAAGCCUAGAUGAUCGUCGGCGUUUGAAAGAAUCACAAUUUAAGAAAAGGAAAAUGGAGAAAAAUGUAUUGGAAAUAAAGAAUGAGGCUGAUAAAUUUUUGUUUGAUCCAUGUGAGGAUGUGGAAAGUGAGAAAUUUGAUAUUUUGGCUUGGUGGAAAAAUAAUUAGACAAAAUAUCGAAUUUUAUCUCAAAUUGCAAGAGAUGUAUACGUCAUUCUAGUUUCUACAAUAACAUCCGAAUAUGCUUUUAGUACCGGAGGGCCUAUUCUUGAUGCAUUCCGAAAUUCAUUGGGUCAAAAAAUGGUGGAGGCUUUGAUUUGUUCUCAAAAUUGGUUGCAAUCAAAGCCUAUGACGUAUGAUUAUAGAGUUGAAGUACCAAUUGGAGAUGUUGCAUAUUAUGAUUCUAUUGAAUCGGGUAAGAAUUUUUUUUAUUAUUAUUUGUAAUUUUAUUUUUAUUAUCUAUUUUAGAGCUUUUAAAUUUUUUAGUAAUAUUUACAACUUCUUUUUAACUUAUUAAUUAAUUUAAUAUCAUAUUUUAAUUUGUUUAGGAGCAUUUUGGGUUACAAAACAAAGUUUACCUCCACCUAAUUAAUUUAUGAUUGCUUGGAUGAAUUGAAUAUGGCUUAUUGAGAUAGUGAGUUUUGCAUGGCUUAUUGGCUUAUUGAGCUUGUGGUUGCUGCUGGUGGCUUUUCAUGUAAUGGAGAAUGUGGAAGAAAACAAUAUUUAAAAUAAUUUUCAUUUUUAUGGAUUGUUAGUUUAUUUAAUUAUAAGUUUAUUUUGAAAUUUAAGAUUUCAAAUAUGGGUUGUAUUUUAUUUUGUAACUAAUAAUGGUUGUAGACUUAUUAUAGAAUUUAUUUGUUAGUGUA
Ziziphus jujuba (common jujube) is the source of this 2456-nucleotide long non-coding RNA. RefSeq lists it as uncharacterized. The transcript has 2 exons. The record is from RefSeq and is a predicted model, not a curated record. NCBI's taxonomy places the organism in Eukaryota, Viridiplantae, Streptophyta, Magnoliopsida, Rosales, Rhamnaceae.